RNAcentral lists this transfer RNA (73 nucleotides) under Chelonia mydas (Green sea turtle). It matches the Rfam family "tRNA". Rfam says of the family: Transfer RNA (tRNA) molecules are approximately 80 nucleotides in length. Their secondary structure includes four short double-helical elements and three loops (D, anti-codon, and T loops). Lineage: Eukaryota; Metazoa; Chordata; Testudines; Cheloniidae. The record is from Rfam by way of RNAcentral.
GCCCCAGUAGCCUAAUAGAUAAGGCAUUAACCUUCUAAGCCAGGAGUUGUAGGUUUAAGUCCCCUCUAGGGUG